Aplysia californica (California sea hare) is the source of this 268-nucleotide long non-coding RNA. RefSeq lists it as uncharacterized. Lineage: Eukaryota; Metazoa; Mollusca; Gastropoda; Aplysiida; Aplysiidae. The record is from RefSeq and is a predicted model, not a curated record. The transcript has 3 exons.
CUCAAAGACUGUUGGCAGUAGUAGACCGCUGGACUUUCGACACUGUCUCCAGUAUCGCUGUUUCCGUGGACACUUUUUUCACAAUAGGGGGUUUCCUCGUGUCGUACCUCAAGCUGAAACCGUGGAUGGAGAAAGGAAGGAGAGUCAACUGGCGUCUGUUCUACUUUCAUCGUAUCUGGAGGCUGACACCCCCCUACAUGCUAAGCCUAGUCUUCUUCAUGGGAUUUCUCAAGUUCUUCGGCUCCGGCGCGACUUGGCCCAAUACAAU